RNAcentral lists this ribosomal RNA (497 nucleotides) under uncultured bacterium. Its description in RNAcentral is "partial 16S ribosomal RNA". It matches the Rfam family "Bacterial small subunit ribosomal RNA", at positions 28 to 507 of the family's 1533-position model. The record is from RNAcentral.
GAUGAACGCUGGCGGCGUGCCUAAUACAUGCAAGUCGAGCGAACGGACGAGAAGCUUGCUUCUCUGAUGUUAGCGGCGGACGGGUGAGUAACACGCGGAUAACCUACCUAUAAGACUGGGAUAACUUCGGGAAACCGGAGCUAAUACCGGAUAAUAUUUUGAACCGCAUGGUUCAAAAGUGAAAGACGGUCUUGCUGUCACUUAUAGAUGGAUCCGCGCUGCAUUAGCUAGUUGGUAAGGUAACGGCUUACCAAGGCAACGAUGCAUAGCCGACCUGAGAGGGUGAUCGGCCACACUGGAACUGAGACACGGUCCAGACUCCUACGGGAGGCAGCAGUAGGGAAUCUUCCGCAAAGGGCGAAAGCCUGACGGAGCAACGCCGCGUGAGUGAUGAAGGUCUUCGGAUCGUAAAACUCUGUUAUUAGGGAAGAACAUAUGUGUAAGUAACUGUGCACAUCUUGACGGUACCUAAUCAGAAAGCCACGGCUAACUACGUG